GGCCCGUCACCUGGUUGUGCUAUGGAAGG
This 29-nucleotide non-coding RNA is filed under the name Mus musculus (house mouse). Lineage: Eukaryota; Metazoa; Chordata; Mammalia; Rodentia; Muridae. The record is from RNAcentral.